RNAcentral lists this small nucleolar RNA (102 nucleotides) under Sorex araneus (European shrew). RNAcentral describes it as "Small nucleolar RNA SNORA32 (ENSSARG00000017958.1)". Lineage: Eukaryota; Metazoa; Chordata; Mammalia; Eulipotyphla; Soricidae. The record is from RNAcentral.
UGGUCAUUACCAAGGAGUUUUUAGAACAGUUUCUGAAUUGAUGUGGACAUCACUUUAAAGAAGAUGCCUCAUUAGGUUUGUCUUCGGCUAUUUUGAAAAUUA